RNAcentral lists this ribosomal RNA (475 nucleotides) under uncultured bacterium. Its description in RNAcentral is "bacterial SSU rRNA". It matches the Rfam family "Bacterial small subunit ribosomal RNA", at positions 29 to 506 of the family's 1533-position model. The record is from RNAcentral.
AGCGAACGUUUGCGGCGGGCCUAACACAUGCAAGUCGAACGCACUAGCAAUAGUGAGUGGCGCACGGGUGCGUAACACGUGGGUAAUCAACCCUUCAGCCUGGGAUAACGACUCGAAAGGGUCGCUAAUACCGGAUACGGCGCGAGAGGCUUCGGCUUCUCACGAGAAAGCCACGCAAGGGGCACUGAAGGACGAGCCUGCGGCCCAUCAGCUAGUUGGUGAGGUAAGAGCUCACCAAGGCUAAGACGGGUAGCUGGUCUGAGAGGAUGAUCAGCCACACUGGAACUGAGACACGGUCCAGACUCCUACGGGAGGCAGCAGUGGGGAAUAUUGCGCAAUGGGCGAAAGCCUGACGCAGCCACGCCGCGUGAGCGAUGAAGGCCUCGGGUCGUAAAGCUCUGUGGGAGAGACGAGAAAGACCUGUGAGAGCAGGCCUUGACGGUAGUCUCCUUACGCAAGCACCGGCUAACUCCGU